Molecule: transfer RNA, 72 nt
Filed under: Chloroflexota bacterium
Lineage: Bacteria; Bacillati; Chloroflexota
Also listed under: 2 other names
Description: tRNA-Gly
Rfam family: tRNA
About the family: Transfer RNA (tRNA) molecules are approximately 80 nucleotides in length. Their secondary structure includes four short double-helical elements and three loops (D, anti-codon, and T loops).
Source: RNAcentral
GCGGGCGUAGUUAAGUGGUAUAACGUCUCCUUGCCAAGGAGAAGGCCAUGGGUUCGAAUCCCAUCGCCCGCU